GACGAACGCUGGCGGCGUGCUUAACACAUGCAAGUCGAACGGAAAGGCCUGCUUUCCCUUGUGGAUUGCGGGUACUCGAGUGGCGAACGGGUGAGUAACACGUGAGUGAUCUGCCCCCAACUUGGGUAUAAGCCUGGGAAACUGGGUCUAAUUCCCGAUAGGACUGCAGGGUGGUGCCUGUGGUGGAAAACGAUUUUCUAGUGGUUGGGGGUGAGCUCGCGGCCUAUCAGCUUGUUGGUGGGGUAAUGGCCUACCAAGGCGGCGACGGGUAGCCGGCCUGAGAGGGUGGACGGCCACAUUGGGACUGAGAUACGGCCCAGACUCCUACGGGAGGCAGCAGUGGGGAAUAUUGCACAAUGGGCGGAAGCCUGAUGCAGCGACGCCGCGUGGGGGAUGACGGCCUUCGGGUUGUAAACUCCUUUCGACCGCGAGGAAGCCACCUGGUUGGAAGGGUGGUGACGGUAGUGGUAGAAGAAGCACCGGCUAACUACGU
Molecule: ribosomal RNA, 493 nt
Filed under: uncultured bacterium
Lineage: Bacteria
Description: partial 16S ribosomal RNA
Rfam family: Bacterial small subunit ribosomal RNA
Source: RNAcentral